CCUACGGGAGGCUGCAGUGAGGAAUAUUGGUCAAUGGACGAGAGUCUGAACCAGCCAAGUAGCGUGAAGGAUGACUGCCCUAUGGGUUGUAAACUUCUUUUAUAAAGGAAUAAAACGAGGCACGUGUGCCUUUUUGCAUGUACUUUAUGAAUAAGGAUCGGCUAACUCCGUGCCAGCAGCCGCGGUAAUACGGAGGAUCCGAGCGUUAUCCGGAUUUAUUGGGUUUAAAGGGAGCGUAGAUGGGUUGUUAAGUCAGUUGCGAAAGUUUGCGGCUCAACCGUAAAAUUGCAAUUGAUACUGGCAGUCUUGAGUACAGUUGAGGUAGGCGGAAUUCGUGGUGUAGCGGUGAAAUGCUUAGAUAUCACGAAGAACCCCGAUUGCGAAGGCAGCUUACUAAACUGUGACUGACAUUGAUGCUCGAAAGUGUGGGUAUCAAACAGGAUUAGAUACCCUUGUAGUC
Molecule: ribosomal RNA, 460 nt
Filed under: uncultured bacterium
Lineage: Bacteria
Description: partial 16S ribosomal RNA
Rfam family: Bacterial small subunit ribosomal RNA
Source: RNAcentral